Potamilus streckersoni is the source of this 73-nucleotide non-coding RNA. NCBI's taxonomy places the organism in Eukaryota, Metazoa, Mollusca, Bivalvia, Unionida, Unionidae. The record is from the annotation of a GenBank genome assembly.
GGUUCAGUGGCCUAGUGAUUAGAGCGUCCACCUUUUAUGCGGGAGGUUGCGCGUUCUAUCCCGGGCUGAGUCA